AUCCAUUUUAGAUCCAGAGGAAUUCAAUAAACUAUUAGAAUCUUAGUUAUUAACUAUAUAUAUCUAGUCAAAGUCUCUAGUCAAAGUCGAUAUGAAUUGAAUCUAGAAAAUAAUAGAAUUUCAAAUCAAUCAAAUCAAUAUUAUAGAACACAACGAUUAAUAGAGCGAUAUAGAAUUUCGAUUUAUUUAUCACUAAUACAAUUCGAAUAUUAUUAAAUCUGAUAUAUCUUUUAUUAUUUUUGUUUUGAGUUUUAUUAUUAUUUGAGUUUUAGAUAAUUAACGUUUUCCUUUUUGAAUUCAAAUGACUUUUGAACUUCUUUUUAUUGUUUAUUGUAUUAUUUUAUUGGAUUCUAUAUCAUAUAUUUUGAAUUACGAAUGGUUAGUUAUAACUAAUGAGACAUUACCCACUUUCAGUCAUAAAGAGGUAAGUAGGAAAAGCGGAAAUUAAGACGACAAAAAGAGAAUCGACCCUUCAAGUAUUCAAAAUUACGUCAAAAAUCUGACAGGUAGAUAUAUAUACCUAGGAUAUAUAUCCAUCUAUAUUGAAUUGCAGAUACAGAAAUGGUACAAUCAUGGUCGAUUGGACCAAAUCCAAAUAGGGUUCUCCUAUAGUCCUAUAGAAAAAUGGUAAGAAUAAGAAGAAGGUAGGAAAAGAAAACAUUUUUUCGAGAUAGGAAUCCGGUAUCUAAUGAAUUCAACGAUUCCAGUAUAAAUGAAACAAAAAAAGAAACGACAUCGCAAUGAAAUUCGAAUCUCAACGCAAAAUGAGGGGGGAUAUGGCGAAAUUGGUAGACGCUACGGACUUAAUUAGAUUGGGCCUUGGUAUGGAAACCCGCCGAGUGAGAACUUUCAAAUUCAGAGAAACCCCGGAAUUAAUAAAAAGGGGCAAUCCUGAGCCAAAUCCUGUUUUAUGAAAACAAAGGUUCAGAAAAUCAAAAAAGGGAUAGGUGCAGAGACGCAAUGAA
This 965-nucleotide precursor RNA is filed under the name Prismatomeris sp. 2 Davis 4037. Its description in RNAcentral is "partial transfer RNA-Thr". The stretch from base 796 to 965 matches the Rfam family "Group I catalytic intron", at positions 1 to 154 of the family's 253-position model. Lineage: Eukaryota; Viridiplantae; Streptophyta; Magnoliopsida; Gentianales; Rubiaceae. The record is from RNAcentral.